Molecule: transfer RNA, 66 nt
Filed under: Rattus norvegicus (Norway rat)
Lineage: Eukaryota; Metazoa; Chordata; Mammalia; Rodentia; Muridae
Rfam family: tRNA
About the family: Transfer RNA (tRNA) molecules are approximately 80 nucleotides in length.
Source: Rfam by way of RNAcentral
GGGGAUUUAGCUCAGUGGUAGAGCACUUGCCUAGCAAGCACAAGGCCCUGGGUUCAGCAGUCCCCA